UACGUAGGGGGCAAGCGUUGUCCGGAAUCAUUGGGCGUAAAGCGCGUGUAGGCGGCCUUGUAAGUCCGUUCUGAAAGCCCGGGGCUCAACCCCGGAAUUGCCUUUAAGACUGCAUCGCUUGAAUCCGGGAGAGGUGAGUGGAAUUCCGGAGUGUAGAGGUGAAAUUCGUAGAUAUUCGGAAGAACACCAGUGGCGAAGGCGGCUCACUGGACCGGCAUUGACGCUGAGGUGCGAAAGCGUGGGGAGCAAACAGG
This 254-nucleotide ribosomal RNA is filed under the name uncultured bacterium. RNAcentral's name for it is "partial 16S ribosomal RNA". It matches the Rfam family "Bacterial small subunit ribosomal RNA", at positions 524 to 776 of the family's 1533-position model. The record is from RNAcentral.